UCAUGGAAGUCGAAAUCCGCUAAG
This 24-nucleotide non-coding RNA is filed under the name Arabidopsis thaliana (thale cress). Lineage: Eukaryota; Viridiplantae; Streptophyta; Magnoliopsida; Brassicales; Brassicaceae. RNAcentral also lists the same sequence under 1 other name. The record is from RNAcentral.